Small nucleolar RNA from Camelus dromedarius (Arabian camel), 102 nucleotides. The record is from Ensembl. Lineage: Eukaryota; Metazoa; Chordata; Mammalia; Artiodactyla; Camelidae.
AUAUUCUGUAGUUCAUGAGUGUGAUGAUUGGGUAUUGACAUGCUGUGUGACAUGUGCCUCCCUUGAACCUUGUUACAACAUUGGCACACUACCUGGCUGACA